This 253-nucleotide ribosomal RNA is filed under the name uncultured bacterium. RNAcentral's name for it is "partial 16S ribosomal RNA". It matches the Rfam family "Bacterial small subunit ribosomal RNA", at positions 524 to 776 of the family's 1533-position model. The record is from RNAcentral.
UACGUAUGGAGCAAGCGUUAUCCGGAUUUACUGGGUGUAAAGGGAGCGCAGGCGGUCUGGCAAGUCUGAUGUGAAAGGCCGGGGCUCAACUCCGGGACUGCAUUGGAAACUGUCAGACUGGAGUGUCGGAGAGGUAGGCGGAAUUCCUAGUGUAGCGGUGAAAUGCGUAGAUAUUAGGAGGAACACCAGUGGCGAAGGCGGCUUACUGGACGAUGACUGACGCUGAGGCUCGAAAGCGUGGGGAGCAAACAGG